UGGGGCCAUAGCUCAGCUGGGAGAGCACCUGCUUUGCACGCAGGGGGUCAGCGGUUCGAUCCCGCUUGGCUCCACCAA
Molecule: transfer RNA, 78 nt
Filed under: Francisella tularensis subsp. holarctica OSU18
Lineage: Bacteria; Pseudomonadati; Pseudomonadota; Gammaproteobacteria; Thiotrichales; Francisellaceae
Description: tRNA-Ala
Rfam family: tRNA
About the family: Transfer RNA (tRNA) molecules are approximately 80 nucleotides in length. Their secondary structure includes four short double-helical elements and three loops (D, anti-codon, and T loops).
Source: RNAcentral